Molecule: ribosomal RNA, 506 nt
Filed under: uncultured bacterium
Lineage: Bacteria
Description: partial 16S ribosomal RNA
Rfam family: Bacterial small subunit ribosomal RNA
Source: RNAcentral
AGUGAACGCUGGCGGUAGGCCUAACACAUGCAAGUCGAACGGCAGCACAGGAGAGCUUGCUCUCUGGGUGGCGAGUGGCGGACGGGUGAGGAAUACAUCGGAAUCUACUCUGUCGUGGGGGAUAACGUAGGGAAACUUACGCUAAUACCGCAUACGACCUACGGGUGAAAGCAGGGGACCUUCGGGCCUUGCGCGAUUGAAUGAGCCGAUGUCGGAUUAGCUAGUUGGCGGGGUAAAGGCCCACCAAGGCGACGAUCCGUAGCUGGUCUGAGGGGAUGAUCAGCCAAACUGGAACUGAGACACGGUCCAGACUCCUACGGGAGGCAGCAGUGGGGAAUAUUGGACAAUGGGCGCAAGCCUGAUCCAGCCAUACCGCGUGGGUGAAGAAGGCCUUCGGGUUGUAAAGCCCUUUUGUUAGGAAAGAAAUCCAGCUGGCUAAUACCCGGUUGGGAUGACGGUACCCAAAGAAUAAGCACCGGCUAACUUCGUGCCAGCCGCCGCAGUAA